Long non-coding RNA from Rana temporaria (common frog), 189 nucleotides. RefSeq lists it as uncharacterized. The record is from RefSeq and is a predicted model, not a curated record. NCBI's taxonomy places the organism in Eukaryota, Metazoa, Chordata, Amphibia, Anura, Ranidae. The transcript has 3 exons.
GAGGUCUCCCAUCCCCCCCGACAGCCGCAGGAGUUCAGUGGGAAGAGAUAUUAAAGAAUUCCCACCUCUUUUUGACACUGCGCCCAUCUCUCCAGGGCUUUCACCCCCUAAAAACCAAGAGGCUGAUGAUGAAGAUCAUGAGUAUGACGAAUAUUCUAACUAUGCUAAUGACGACAAGGCUACACCACC